RNAcentral lists this ribosomal RNA (453 nucleotides) under uncultured bacterium. RNAcentral's name for it is "bacterial SSU rRNA". It matches the Rfam family "Bacterial small subunit ribosomal RNA", at positions 340 to 786 of the family's 1533-position model. The record is from RNAcentral.
UACGGGAGGCAGCAGUGGGGAAUAUUGCACAAUGGGCGCAAGCCUGAUGCAGCCAUGCCGCGUGUAUGAAGAAGGCCUUCGGGUUGUAAAGUACUUUCAGUCGUGAGGAAGGUGUUAAGGUUAAUAACCUUAGCAAUUGACGUUAGCGACAGAAGAAGCACCGGCUAACUCCGUGCCAGCAGCCGCGGUAAUACGGAGAGUGCGAGCGUUAAUCGGAAUUACUGGGCGUAAAGGGCACGCAGGCGGUUAAUUAAGUUGGAUGUGAAAUCCCCGGGCUUAACCUGGGAAUGGCAUUCAAGACUGGUUAGCUAGAGUCUUGUAGAGGGGGUAGAAUUCCAUGUGUAGCGGUGAAAUGCGUAGAGAUGUGGAGGAAUACCGGUGGCGAAGGCGGCCCCUGGACAAAGACUGACGCUCAUGUGCGAAAGCGUGGGGAGCAAACAGGGAUUAGAUACC